UUUGUACACACCGCCCGUCACACCCGAGAGUUUGUAACACCCGAAGUCGGUGAGGUAACCUUUUGGAGCCAGCCGCCGAAGGUGGGACAGAUGAUUGGGGUGAAGUCGUAACAAGGUAGCCGUAUCGGAAGGUGCGGCUGGAUCACCUCCUUUCUAAGGAUAUUAUACGGAAUAUAAGACCUUGCGGUCUUAUAGACAGGUGCGUUUGGAUCUUGUUUAGUUUUGAAGGAUCAUUCCUUCAAAGCGUGUUCUUUGAAAACUAGAUAACAGUAGACAUCACAUUCAAUUAGUAAUGCAAGAUAUCACGUAGUGAUUCUUUUUAAC
RNAcentral lists this unclassified non-coding RNA (324 nucleotides) under Streptococcus mutans. Its description in RNAcentral is "partial 16S-23S ribosomal intergenic spacer". The stretch from base 1 to 153 matches the Rfam family "Bacterial small subunit ribosomal RNA", at positions 1380 to 1533 of the family's 1533-position model. Lineage: Bacteria; Bacillati; Bacillota; Bacilli; Lactobacillales; Streptococcaceae. The record is from RNAcentral.